RNAcentral lists this ribosomal RNA (432 nucleotides) under uncultured bacterium. RNAcentral's name for it is "partial 16S ribosomal RNA". It matches the Rfam family "Bacterial small subunit ribosomal RNA", at positions 338 to 795 of the family's 1533-position model. The record is from RNAcentral.
CCUACGGGGGGCAGCAGUGGGGAAUAUUGGACAAUGGGCGAAAGCCUGAUCCAGCCAUGCCGCGUGAGUGAUGAAGGCCUUAGGGUUGUAAAGCUCUUUUGCCCGGGAAGCGGUACCGGGAGAAUAAGCCCCGGCUAACUUCGUGCCAGCAGCCGCGGUAAUACGAAGGGGGCUAGCGUUGUUCGGAUUUACUGGGCGUAAAGCGCACGUAGGCGGAUUCUUAAGUCAGAGGUGAAAUCCCAGGGCUCAACCCUGGAACUGCCUUUGAUACUGGGGAUCUCGAGUCCGGGAGAGGUGAGUGGAACUGCGAGUGUAGAGGUGAAAUUCGUAGAUAUUCGCAAGAACACCAGUGGCGAAGGCGGCUCACUGGCCCGGACUGACGCUGAGGUGCGAAAGCGUGGGGAGCAAACAGGAUUAGAUACCCUUGUAGUC